Molecule: ribosomal RNA, 489 nt
Filed under: Escherichia coli
Lineage: Bacteria; Pseudomonadati; Pseudomonadota; Gammaproteobacteria; Enterobacterales; Enterobacteriaceae
Description: bacterial SSU rRNA
Rfam family: Bacterial small subunit ribosomal RNA
Source: RNAcentral
AAAUUGAAGAGUUUGAUCAUGGCUCAGAUUGAACGCUGGCGGCAGGCCUAACACAUGCAAGUCGAACGGUAACAGGAAACAGCUUGCUGUUUCGCUGACGAGUAGCGGACGGGUGAGUAAUGUCUGGGAAACUGCCUGAUGGAGGGGGAUAACUACUGGAAACGGUAGCUAAUACCGCAUAAUGUCGCAAGACCAAAGAGGGGGACCUUCGGGCCUCUUGCCAUCGGAUGUGCCCAGAUGGGAUUAGCUAGUAGGUGGGGUAAAGGCUCACCUAGGCGACGAUCCCUAGCUGGUCUGAGAGGAUGACCAGCCACACUGGAACUGAGACACGGUCCAGACUCCUACGGGAGGCAGCAGUGGGGAAUAUUGCACAAUGGGCGCAAGCCUGAUGCAGCCAUGCCGCGUGUAUGAAGAAGGCCUUCGGGUUGUAAAGUACUUUCAGCGGGGAGGAAGGGAGUAAAGUUAAUACCUUUGCUCAUUGACGUUACC